GUCCACGCCGUAAACGAUGAAUACUAGGUGUAGGGGGUAUCGACUCCCCCUGUGCCGCAGCUAACGCAAUAAGUAUUCCACCUGGGGAGUACGGCCGCAAGGUUGAAACUCAAAGGAAUUGACGGGGGCCCGCACAAGCAGUGGAUUAUGUGGUUUUAAUUCGAAGCAACGCGAAGAACCUUACCAGGACUUGACAUCCUCUGACCGCCAUAGAGAUAUGGUUUCCCUUCGGGGCAGAGAGACAGGUGGUGCAUGGUUGUCGU
RNAcentral lists this ribosomal RNA (263 nucleotides) under uncultured bacterium. RNAcentral describes it as "partial 16S ribosomal RNA". It matches the Rfam family "Bacterial small subunit ribosomal RNA", at positions 793 to 1055 of the family's 1533-position model. The record is from RNAcentral.